CAUUAUCAGCGUUAAGGAGGACCCGGAAGGGUCAAACAUUUCAGAGCUUCCUGAACAAGUAUGCUGAGAUGAAGUUAUCGCUGAAUCUGCCAAAAGAAAUGCUGGAAUCCCAUCACACUGGGAGGAAGGGCUCAUGCUGCAGCCAGAUGGGACCUCAGGAGCUGCUGGAGCCACGUGGAUUUGAACAGAGCACAGAUUCCCAGGUCACUGCCCCCGCCCCGCCUCCCAGAGUAAGCAGUUCCUCAACAACCCAAUAUCUGCAGCCACUCCUUGUAUCUCUUUCAGAAAUUUCACCUGGGUCCUUCCCUUUUCAGAAGGUACUGGCCUCUUCUUGUGUACUUGCCCAGGGAACUGUACCUUAUAAAUAGUGUCCAGCUGCCACUGCCACGGUUCCACCAGUUUUCCCAGAGCAGGUAGGAAGGGGCAAUGAAAGUGUCCAUUCUCCCUCGUCAGCCCAGGUGCCUUUCUGACUCAUAGGCCAACCACGAGGUACAAGCCCUGGGGAGGUGAGUAAUGCAUCCUUCAAACGUCUGGUAUGAACUUGAUCC
Molecule: long non-coding RNA, 548 nt
Organism: Fukomys damarensis (Damara mole-rat)
Lineage: Eukaryota; Metazoa; Chordata; Mammalia; Rodentia; Bathyergidae
Exons: 3
Source: RefSeq, a predicted model, not a curated record